This 440-nucleotide ribosomal RNA is filed under the name uncultured bacterium. Its description in RNAcentral is "partial 16S ribosomal RNA". It matches the Rfam family "Bacterial small subunit ribosomal RNA", at positions 338 to 795 of the family's 1533-position model. The record is from RNAcentral.
CCUACGGGAGGCAGCAGUGGGGGAUAUUGCACAAUGGGGGAAACCCUGAUGCAGCGACGCCGCGUGUGGGAAGACGGUCCUCUGGAUUGUAAACUACUGUCCUCAGGGACGAAGAUGACGGUACCUGGGGAGGAAGCUCCGGCUAACUACGUGCCAGUCGCCGCGGUACUACGUAGGGAGCGAGCUUUGUCCGGAAUUACUGGGUGUAAAGGGAGCGUAGGCGGGGAUGGAAGGUGGGUGUCAAAACUACCGGCUCAACUGGGAGUCGCACUCGAAACUGCAGCUCUUGAGUGAAGUAGAGGCAGGCGGAAUUCCUGGUGUAGCGGUGAAAUGCGUAGAUAUUAGGAGGAACACCAGUGGCGAAGGCGGCCUGCUGGGCUGUAACUGACGCUGAGGCUCGAAAGUGUGGGGAGCAAACAGGAUUAGAUACCCGAGUAGUC